GGGUGAGUAACGCGUAGGUAAUCUACCUUAAGGAUUGGGAUAGCUCUACGAAAGUAGGAUUAAUACCAUAUAUGCUCUAUUGAGUAAAGAUUUAUCGCCUUAUGAUGAGCCUGCGUUAGAUUAGUUAGUUGGUAGGGUAACGGCCUACCAAGGCGACGAUCUAUAGCCGGGUUGAGAGACUGGCCGGCCACAUUGGGACUGAGACACGGCCCAGACUCCUACGGGAGGCAGCAGCUAAGAAUCUUCCGCAAUGGACGCAAGUCUGACGGAGCGACGCCGCGUGAACGAUGAAGGCCUUACAGGUUGUAAAGUUCUUUUAUAGAAGACGAAUGUUAUGCGUAGGCAUAACUGACGGUAUUCUAUGAAUAAGGUCCGGCUAACUACGUGCCAGCAGCCGCGGUAAUACGUAGGGACCGAGCGUUGUUCGGAAUUAUUGGGCGUAAAGGGUACGUAGGCGGUCUAAUAAGUCAGAUGUGAAACCCUCGGGCUCAUCCUGAGGCCUGCGUCUGAUACUGUUAGGCUAGAGUUACGGAGAGGAAGUCGGAAUUCCUGGUGUAGGGGUGAAAUCUAUAGAUAUCAGGAAGAACAUCGGUUGCGAAGGCUGACUUCUGGACGUUAACUGACGCUGAGGUACGAAAGUUAGGGUAGCAAACAGGAUUAGAGACCCUGGUAGUCCUAACUGUAAACGUUGUAUACUAGGUGGUGGCGUUUUGAUCGCGUCACUGCCGGAGCUAACGCAUUAAGUAUACCGCCUGGGGAGUAUGCCGGCAACGGUGAAACUCAAAGGAAUUGACGGGGGCCCGCACAAGCAGUGGAGCAUGUUGUUUAAUUCGAUGAUACGCGAGGAACCUUACCAGGUCUUGACAUAUACCUGAAUGUUGUAGAGAUACAUCAGUCUUUCGGGACAGGUAUACAGGUGCUGCAUGGUUGUCGUCAGCUCGUGCCGUGAGGUGUUGGGUUAAG
This 963-nucleotide ribosomal RNA is filed under the name uncultured organism. RNAcentral's name for it is "bacterial SSU rRNA". It matches the Rfam family "Bacterial small subunit ribosomal RNA", at positions 104 to 1084 of the family's 1533-position model. The record is from RNAcentral.